UACGGAGGGUGCAAGCGUUAAUCGGAAUUACUGGGCGUAAAGAGUGCGUAGGUGGUUAGGUAAGUUAUGUGUGAAAUCCCUGGGCUUAACCUGGGCAGGUCAUAUAAUACUGCUUGACUCGAGUAUGGGAGAGGGUAGUGGAAUUUCCGGUGUAGCGGUGAAAUGCGUAGAGAUCGGAAGGAACACCAGUGGCGAAGGCGGCUACCUGGCCUAAUACUGACACUGAGGCACGAAAGCGUGGGGAGCAAACAGG
Molecule: ribosomal RNA, 253 nt
Filed under: uncultured bacterium
Lineage: Bacteria
Description: partial 16S ribosomal RNA
Rfam family: Bacterial small subunit ribosomal RNA
Source: RNAcentral